Maylandia zebra (zebra mbuna) is the source of this 645-nucleotide non-coding RNA. NCBI's taxonomy places the organism in Eukaryota, Metazoa, Chordata, Actinopteri, Cichliformes, Cichlidae. The record is from RefSeq and is a predicted model, not a curated record.
AGGUUAUGUUGUCCUGGCGCUUAUCAUCAUAGUGAUUAUAAUUCUGUGUAUCAUCCUCUACCUCUUGAGGCGAGCCUCCAGGACAUAUUCAUUUGACCUCCAGCGUCCAAAUCCUGUUGGUCAUCUCAACCAGCCCACUGGCACCUUUGAGCCAGUCUACCUGGAUGAUCUGGAGCGACCGGUACCUAAAGAUAUUGAAGCCACCGAUGACCUUUCACCUCCACCGGUCGCUAAUGGCACGAGUCUACAGUCGGAGGAAAAGGACUCCACUGGAGAGAACGCUCCUGAGGAACAGCCAGAAGCAAACGGUGUGGAGACUUCACCCGCUGAAAACACCACUCCCUCACUGAGUAGCGAUGAAGCUGACAAGAUAUCCAACCCACCGAGCAGUACCAGCCUUUUCUUUGAUGCUAUUGGGGAGCAGCAGAAUGAAAACAACAACAACCCAACAGUUUGCUCCAGUGACCCAUUUGUUGAAAUAAACCUGGACGAGCCGGCAUGGUGUGAUCAGCUCCUCAAUUCUUCUGAAGGUUCUUCCUCGGUCUUCCCCUUCUCUCCAUUCUCUUUAUCCUCCUCUUCCUCUUAGCACUUUGAAUGUUAUCCUCUUCCAUCAACAUAUAGGCAGAAACUGUCUUUCGUAGCACA